Molecule: ribosomal RNA, 454 nt
Filed under: Arsukibacterium ikkense
Lineage: Bacteria; Pseudomonadati; Pseudomonadota; Gammaproteobacteria; Chromatiales; Chromatiaceae
Description: bacterial SSU rRNA
Rfam family: Bacterial small subunit ribosomal RNA
Source: RNAcentral
UGGCUCAGAUUGAACGCUGGCGGCAGGCCUAACACAUGCAAGUCGAGCGGAUGAGGGUAGCUUGCUACCUGAUUUAGCGGCGGACGGGUGAGUAAUGCGUAGGAAGCUGCCCGAUAGAGGGGGAUACCAGUUGGAAACGACUGUUAAUACCGCAUAAUGUCUACGGACCAAAGUAUGGGACCUUCGGGCCAUAUGCUAUCGGAUGCGCCUACGUGGGAUUAGCUAGUUGGUGUGGUAAUGGCGCACCAAGGCGACGAUCCCUAGCUGGUUUGAGAGGAUGAUCAGCCACACUGGGACUGAGACACGGCCCAGACUCCUACGGGAGGCAGCAGUGGGGAAUAUUGGACAAUGGGCGCAAGCCUGAUCCAGCCAUGCCGCGUGUGUGAAGAAGGCCUUCGGGUUGUAAAGCACUUUCAGUGGGGAGGAAGGGGUUGUAGUUAAUAGCUGCAAUUUU